Molecule: long non-coding RNA, 433 nt
Organism: Paralichthys olivaceus (Japanese flounder)
Lineage: Eukaryota; Metazoa; Chordata; Actinopteri; Pleuronectiformes; Paralichthyidae
Source: RefSeq, a predicted model, not a curated record
GAUCCAGUAAGCCUGGCGUCACAACCCCUAUAAAUACGACGUCGCGGGAUUGUGACGUCCUCCAGGAAGACGGUGUGUUAGCGGUUGCCUCCACUCCUCGACAUGAGAGCCAAGUGGAGAAAGAAGCGCAUGCGCAGGCUGAAGCGCAAAAGGAGAAAGAUGAGGCAGAGGUCCAAGUAAACUGUCUUCUCUGCCAUGGCUGUGACUUCCAAUGUUUCAAACAAGCUGACUAGAAGAGCACAGCCAGAGACCCAGGACCCCCCCCCUCUUGUCUUGAAGCCAGCGGUGUCCAAAUCGACCUGAUGCUGCAGAGCUGAUCCAAGACCCCUGGAUGUCAGGCUUUUCCACUGGGACUUUCUGAACUCCUGUUCUUAAUUCCUCAACUUUUUUCAUUUGUUUUUGUCUUUGAUUAAAGGUUUUGGUUUAAAAAAAA